AAGGAGCCUUUGUCUGAAUUCAAUCAUAUCAUCGAUCACUUUGUAAGUUUCCUAGUCAAGGCAAGGGCAAACCGCAGGGCCCUCAAGGGCCUCAACUUUUGUGUUGUUCUCUCUCUCUCUCUCUCUCUCUCUCUCUCUCUCUCUCUCUCUCUCUCUCACUCACAGAGCUUUACCAAAUUUUCCAUCUUUACUUCUUUUUUUCUUUUUUUUUGGGGCUGAGCAGCCUCAUGGAUUAGUCUCAACUUUGAAUGAAAUGUUAAUGCCUCAAAUCUCAAUGGUCCAAUGUGUCGUUUUCCCUUAAUUUAUAAACAAAUUAUUGAUAAGGUCGGGAUGCUCUUUCUGUAAUUUUAUUGACAUAAAAAGAAAGGGACAGAAGCAGCUCACCACUUGUAACAAAACUGCCACAUUCAACCAAACUCAAACCCCAAGGAACCCUUUAAGGUUCUGCUCUUUCCUCAAGCUUGUUCUGCUUCAGCUUCUUCUUGCCACCUGAAGCAGUCUGCACCAACCGGGCCCAGAUAAGAUCGAUGGUUUUGAUGCAUGAGGUGGCCAAAAAGCUUCCAGCUUGGCUUUAGUGUUUAAUAAGUAUCUGAUAAGACUUGAGGAUAACUUUCAACAGUGGCAACCAAAGUGUUGAUAUUGUUCCAAGAAGCAGCGUUGGGAUCAAAAGGAUGACCAAUGAGGAACUAAAUAUGCUUCCUUGCUUUGACUACAUGGCAGGAGAGAAAGGGACUAGCCUUGUGGAUUGUGCAGUUUGCUUGGAAAAUUUCAAGGCAGGGGAGAGGUGCAGACAGUUGCCUAAUUGCAGGCACAACUUCCAUGCUCAAUGCAUAGACACAUGGUUGUUGAAGACGCCGGUUUGCCCGGUGUGUCGAACUUGUGCUAAAACUCCGAAGAUUGAUGUGAGUUUGGGAGAGGAAAGUAGUGUUGCAGGUGAUUAUCGAAUUGAAUUGACAUAGAAUGAAGGUUACCUUGCAGCCAUUAGCUUCCACACACACUGUUUUCCAUUAAUUGUGAAUAAUGAUGUUCUUGCUUGCUUUUCCCAAAUGAAUUCAAUUCUCGUUCUACUUAAUAUAAUCAUAUCUCAAAUGAUUAUUUUUCAAAAAA
Long non-coding RNA from Prunus persica (peach), 1107 nucleotides. RefSeq lists it as uncharacterized. NCBI's taxonomy places the organism in Eukaryota, Viridiplantae, Streptophyta, Magnoliopsida, Rosales, Rosaceae. The transcript has 2 exons. The record is from RefSeq and is a predicted model, not a curated record.